RNAcentral lists this ribosomal RNA (253 nucleotides) under uncultured bacterium. Its description in RNAcentral is "partial 16S ribosomal RNA". It matches the Rfam family "Bacterial small subunit ribosomal RNA", at positions 524 to 776 of the family's 1533-position model. The record is from RNAcentral.
GACGUAGGGCGCGAGCGUUGUCCGGAUUUAUUGGGCGUAAAGAGCUCGUAGGCGGCUUGUCGCGUCGUCCGUGAAAACCCGCGGCUUAACUGCGGGCUUGCGGUUGAUACGGGCGGGCUAGAGUUCGGUAGGGGAGACUGGAAUUUCUGGUGUAGCGGUGAAAUGCGCAGAUAUCAGGAGGAACACCGGUGGCGAAGGCGGGUCUCUGGGCCGAUACUGACGCUGAGGAGCGAAAGCGUGGGGAGCGAACAGG